UACAGAGGGUGCGAGCGUUGUCCGGAAUCACUGGGCGUAAAGGGCGCGUAGGUGGCGACCCAAGUCGAUGGUGAAAGCUCGCCGCUCAACGGCGAGUCGGCCACUGAUACUGGGUUGCUGGAGCACUGUAGAGGCAGAUGGAAUUCCGGGUGUAGCGGUGGAAUGCGUAGAGAUCCGGAAGAACACCGGUGGCGAAGGCGGUCUGCUGGGCAGUUGCUGACACUGAGGCGCGACAGCGUGGGGAGCAAACGGG
Molecule: ribosomal RNA, 253 nt
Filed under: uncultured bacterium
Lineage: Bacteria
Description: partial 16S ribosomal RNA
Rfam family: Bacterial small subunit ribosomal RNA
Source: RNAcentral